CGCAAAACAGCGCGAGCGCUGGCUUGACUGUCGUUUUCGAAGUGGAGGCUGGCUUGACUUCAGUGUGACAUGUCAGGCUCUCCAAUUCUCACGCUCCAUAAGGAAAGUCUGCCGUGUCAAACUGGUGGAAGUGGCUGCAUGUUGGCCUUUUCUAAUGGUUGGCCCUCUGUAACACCCACGUGUGCCUGG
Micropterus dolomieu (smallmouth bass) is the source of this 189-nucleotide long non-coding RNA. RefSeq lists it as uncharacterized. Lineage: Eukaryota; Metazoa; Chordata; Actinopteri; Centrarchiformes; Centrarchidae. The transcript is spliced from 3 exons. The record is from RefSeq and is a predicted model, not a curated record.